GAUGAACGCUGGCGGCGUGCCUAAUACAUGCCAGUCGAGCGAACAGAUAAGGAGCUUGCUCCUUUGACGUUAGCGGCGGACGGGUGAGUAACACGUGGGUAACCUACCUAUAAGACUGGAAUAACUCCGGGAAACCGGGGCUAAUGCCGGAUAACAUUUAGAACCGCAUGGUUCUAAAGUGAAAGAUGGUUUUGCUAUCACUUAUAGAUGGACCCGCGCCGUAUUAGCUAGUUGGUAAGGUAACGGCUUACCAAGGCAACGAUACGUAGCCGACCUGAGAGGGUGAUCGGCCACACGGGAACUGAGACACGGUCCAGACUCCUACGGGAGGCAGCAGUAGGGAAUCUUCCGCAAUGGGCGAAAGCCUGACGGAGCAACGCCGCGUGAGUGAUGAAGGUCUUCGGAUCGUAAAACUCUGUUAUUAGGGAAGAACAAAUGUGUAAGUAACUGUGCACGUCUUGACGGUACCUAAUCAGAAAGCCACGGCUAACUACGUG
RNAcentral lists this ribosomal RNA (497 nucleotides) under uncultured bacterium. RNAcentral describes it as "partial 16S ribosomal RNA". It matches the Rfam family "Bacterial small subunit ribosomal RNA", at positions 28 to 507 of the family's 1533-position model. The record is from RNAcentral.